UUGUCGUUAUUUUUGUAUCAUCACACUUCUGACAUCACCUUUUGCCUUGCAAUUCUUUUUUACCUUUUCAACUCACCACCAUAAAGGUGUGGUGGGCAUGUCUCAUGUGGGUGAUUACCUCUAAUGGCUGAUCAGUUGGACUUCGCACACAUUAGUCAUUGGUGCUGCCUGCCCUGUUAUGAGCCAGGGAGCACCCAUCUUUUCAGACUUGGCUUGUGCUUUGUAAUUGUAUUGAUUUUUAGUUUGGGAUAUUGUGAUUCAUAAUUUGUUAUUGUAUUCCCAUUAGGAAAAUAGGUGAUGGCGGGAUUUGUAUCCACUGGCUAGAGUCUAGUUGUUAUGAGAUCUGUUUGUACUUGUAUCUCUGCUCAUUGACCCAAAAAAAGAAAAAGAAUAUAAAACCUCUAAUCCCAAAUUAGUUGGAGUUCGCUAUAUGGAACAAUUUCCUCCAAUCCACCUGGUUUAGUUGCUGCAUCAAAAAAAUCCAAGGCUGCUAAGUCCUUUGUCACUACUUCCCAAUAUGUCAUCUUAGGUUUGCCUCUCUUUUACAUAUUUCCUUCCACAUCAAUGUGCUCAACCUUUUGUAUUGGAGCAUUUGCUGGUCUAUGAUGCAUGUGUCCAAACCAUCUCAAUCUCUCUUCU
Molecule: unclassified non-coding RNA, 639 nt
Filed under: Hevea brasiliensis (rubber tree)
Lineage: Eukaryota; Viridiplantae; Streptophyta; Magnoliopsida; Malpighiales; Euphorbiaceae
Source: RNAcentral